This 300-nucleotide unclassified non-coding RNA is filed under the name uncultured Panaeolus. RNAcentral's name for it is "sequence contains 5.8S rRNA gene, ITS2". The stretch from base 1 to 71 matches the Rfam family "5.8S ribosomal RNA", at positions 84 to 154 of the family's 154-position model. Lineage: Eukaryota; Fungi; Basidiomycota; Agaricomycetes; Agaricales; Bolbitiaceae. The record is from RNAcentral.
GUGAGUCAUCGAAUCUUUGAACGCACCUUGCGCUCGUUGGUAUUCCGACGAGCAUGCCUGUUUGAGUGUCAUUAAUUUCUCAACCUCAUCGCUUUUGUGAUGAUGGCUUGGAUGUGGAGGUUUUCUGCAGGCCGAAAGGUCUGCUCCUCUCAAAUGAAUUAGUGGGUGCCCCGCGCAAACCUAUCUAUUGGUGUGAUAAUUAUCUACGCCGUGGAUCUUAGGAUUGCUGUAAAAAGGUGUUUGCCCUGCUUCUAACCGUCUUCGGACAACUUGAACCAUUUGACCUCAAAUCAGGUAGGA